This 758-nucleotide ribosomal RNA is filed under the name uncultured bacterium. RNAcentral's name for it is "bacterial SSU rRNA". It matches the Rfam family "Bacterial small subunit ribosomal RNA", at positions 57 to 809 of the family's 1533-position model. The record is from RNAcentral.
GCAGUCGAACGGCAGCACGGGAACAAUCCUGGUGGCGAGUGGCGAACGGGUGAGUAAUAUAUCGGAACGUGCCCAAUCGUGGGGGAUAACGCAGCGAAAGCUGUGCUAAUACCGCAUACGAUCUACGGAUGAAAGCGGGGGACUCGCAAGAGCCUCGCGCGAAUGGAGCGGCCGAUAUCAGAUUAGCUAGUUGGUGGGGUAAAAGCUCACCAAGGCGACGAUCUGUAGCUGGUCUGAGAGGACGACCAGCCACACUGGAACUGAGACACGGUCCAGACUCCUACGGGAGGCAGCAGUGGGGAAUUUUGGACAAUGGGCGAAAGCUUGAUCCAGCAAUGCCGCGUGCAGGAUGAAGGCCUUCGGGUUGUAAACUGCUUUUGUACGGAACGAAACGGUCUUUUCUAAUAAAGAGGGCUAAUGACGGUACCGUAAGAAUAAGCACCGGCUAACUACGUGCCAGCAGCCGCGGUAAUACGUAGGGUGCGAGCGUUAAUCGGAAUUACUGGGCGUAAAGCGUGCGCAGGCGGUGAUGUAAGACAGAUGUGAAAUCCCCGGGCUCAACCUGGGACCUGCAUUUGUGACUGCAUCGCUAGAGUACGGUAGAGGGGGAUGGAAUUCCGCGUGUAGCAGUGAAAUGCGUAGAUAUGCGGAGGAACACCGAUGGCGAAGGCGACUUUCUGGACUGUAACUGACGCUGAGGCGCGAAAGCGUGGGGAGCAAACAGGAUUAGAUACCCUGGUAGAAUCACUAGUGAAUUC